GGAGGUUUUCAAUGUUUAAGAAACUGUUUAAGAAGUUUUCUUUAUGAUCAAAAUAUGUUUAUUCUCUCAAUUUCUGAACCAAUAAUUGGCUUGUCAUUUUAAAGCCUUAACAAAGUUAUUGUGGCAAAAUAUUUUCUUGAAAAAUAAUGCAUCUAAUUUUCGACUUCCUGUGGCCCUACUACUAUCCUUGCUUCCCAAAACAAAGGUCUCCAACUCAGGCAAAUACAGUCUCUGCAAAGUGGAACUCAAAAUAUUAACGAGUCACUGCAAGAAAGAAUACAGUGUAAAGGAAAUUUGGAUGGGACUGCAAGUAAAAUCAAUGAAGUCUAUCCAAAUGUAGAUCCUGGAGGAAUACAAUCUGUGUCUCUUACAUCAAGAAAGACUUAGUACUCUCCAAGAAUACCAUUUUGUACCAAGUUCAAACUGGAGGAUCACAAGUCUUUACAUGUGACUUAGGAAACAGGAAGAAGCAACCAAACCAAUCUAAGUGAGGCUUCAUUAAGG
Molecule: long non-coding RNA, 504 nt
Filed under: Homo sapiens (human)
Lineage: Eukaryota; Metazoa; Chordata; Mammalia; Primates; Hominidae
Description: non-protein coding lnc-NAALAD2-4:2
Source: RNAcentral